This 307-nucleotide long non-coding RNA is filed under the name Brassica napus (rape). RNAcentral describes it as "long non-coding RNA (BNAP_LNC010216)". The record is from RNAcentral. Lineage: Eukaryota; Viridiplantae; Streptophyta; Magnoliopsida; Brassicales; Brassicaceae.
CUCUAGACAUCUAGUGAACAUAUCGAUUAAGUCAUUAAUGCUUUUCUAGGAAGUAUCAAUCGACACUAUGUAGUAUCGAUCGACACUCACUCCUUGUUUGCAUGCGAGAGCUGGAAUAAAGACUUAACCAUCUGAUUAGACUCUUAGCGAGAGCUGGAUAUCUUACUAUUGUAUUUGAGUUCUAGGACGGUUUAUAACACAUCCUUAGCAUCUAUACGUCAUAAUUGUGAUUGCCUGAAACCUGAAUCUAUCUAUUUUAUCUUAUAUUCUCACAACCAACUGCUUACCUAUUAAUGAUAUUUGUUGC